This 1783-nucleotide ribosomal RNA is filed under the name Megahexura fulva. RNAcentral describes it as "SSU rRNA". It matches the Rfam family "Eukaryotic small subunit ribosomal RNA". The record is from RNAcentral. Lineage: Eukaryota; Metazoa; Arthropoda; Arachnida; Araneae; Mecicobothriidae.
AUAUGCUCGUCUCAAAGAUUAAGCCAUGCAUGUCUCAGUACGUGCCCGUUGGUUAAAGGCGAAACCGCGAAUGGCUCAUUAAAUCAGUUGUGGUUCCUUGGACGGUGCCAAGUUACUUGGAUACCCGUGGUAAUUCUAGGGCUAAUACAUGCAUCAGAGCCCGGACGGCCGUCCUUUAACCGGGGCGGUCGGAAGGGCGCUUUUAUUAGACCAAAGCCAAUCGCUCUUUACCGGGCGUAAGCGAUGGUGACUCUGGAUAACUUUGGGCGGAUCGCUAGGGCAAGACCCUGCGACGCGUCCUUCGAGCGUCUGCCUUAUCAACUGUCGACGGUAGGCCACGUGCCUACCGUGGUUGUCACGGGUGACGGGGAAUCAGGGUUCGAUUCCGGAGAGGGAGCCUGAGAAACGGCUACCACAUCCAAGGAAGGCAGCAGGCGCGCAAAUUACCCAAUCCCGGCUCGGGGAGGUAGUGACGAAAAAUAACGAUACGGGACUCUUUCGAGACCCCGUAAUCGGAAUGAGCGCAGCCUAGAUCCUUCAGCGAGGAUCCAUGGGAGGGCAAGUCUGGUGCCAGCAGCCGCGGUAACUCCAGCUCCCAUAGCGUAUAUUAAAGUUGUUGCGGUUAAAAAGCUCGUAGUUGGAUCUCAGUUCCGGACGGCCGGCACCGCCUCCCGGCGGUUCACCGGACGGUUCCGAACAACUCUGCCGGUUUCCCUCGAUGAUCUUCACCGAUUGUCCCGGGCGACCGGCGCGUUCACUUUGAAAAAAUUAGAGUGCUCAAGGCAGGCUGACACGCCUGGAUAAUGGUGCAUGGAAUGAUGGAAUAGGACCUCGGUCCGAUUUCGUUGGUUUUGCGGAGGAGAGGUGAUGAUCGACAGGGACAGACGGAGGCAUUCGUAUUGCGGCGCUAGAGGUGAAAUUCUUGGACCGUCGCAAGACGAACUACAGCGAAAGCAUUUGCCGAGAAUGUUUUCAUUGAUCAAGGACGAAAGUUAGAGGUUCGAAGGCGAUCAGAUACCGCCCUAGUUCUAACCGUAAACCAUGCCAACUGGCAAUCCGCCCGAGUUCCUCAAAUGACUCGGCGGGCGACCUCCGGGAAACCAAAGUGUUUGGGUUCCGGGGGUAGUAUGGUUGCAAAGCUGAAACUUAAAGGAAUUGACGGAAGGACACCACCAGCCGUGGGGCCUGCGGCUCAAUUUGACUCAACACGGGGCAACUCACCCGGCCCGGACACCGGGAGGAUUGACAGAUUAAGAGCUCUUUCUUGAUUCGGUGGGUGGUGGUGCAUGGCCGUUCUUAGUUGGUGGAGCGAUUUGUCUGGUUAAUUCCGAUAACGAGCGAGACUCUAGCCUGCUAAAUAGGCGACGUCCACUUCGGUGGGACGGCGCGUCUCUUCUUAGAGGGACCGAGCGGCGUUUAGCCGCACGAGACAGAGCAAUAACAGGUCUGUGAUGCCCUUAGAUGUCCGGGGCCGCACGCGCGCCACACUGAAGGAACCAGCGUGUGUUCUCCUAGUCCGGAAGGACCGGGUAACCCGAUGAACCUCCUUCGUGCUGGGGACAGGGGCUUGGAAUUGUUCCCCUCGAACGGGGAAUGCCUCGUAGGCGCGGGUCAUCAACCCGCGUCGAUUACGUCCCUGUCCUUUGUCCACACCGCCCGUCGCUACUACCGAUUGAACGAGUUAGUGAGGUCCUUGGACUGGCUCCCGCAACGGCCCUUGGGUCGGGGUGGUUGCCGGGAAGUUGCCCGAACUUGCUCGUUUAGAGGAAGUAAAAGUCGUAAC